Molecule: ribosomal RNA, 253 nt
Filed under: uncultured bacterium
Lineage: Bacteria
Description: partial 16S ribosomal RNA
Rfam family: Bacterial small subunit ribosomal RNA
Source: RNAcentral
UACGUAGGGUGCAAGCGUUGUCCGGAAUUAUUGGGCGUAAAGAGCUUGUAGGCGGUUUGUCGCGUCUGCUGUGAAAUUUCGGGGCUCAACCCCGAACUUGCAGUGGGUACGGGCAGACUAGAGUGUGGUAGGGGAGACUGGAAUUCCUGGUGUAGCGGUGAAAUGCGCAGAUAUUGGGAGGAACACCAGUGGCGAAGGCGGCUCACUGGGCCGGAACUGACGCUGAGGCGCGAAAGCGUGGGGAGCAAACAGG